This is a long non-coding RNA of Oncorhynchus gorbuscha (pink salmon), 180 nucleotides long. RefSeq lists it as uncharacterized. The record is from RefSeq and is a predicted model, not a curated record. NCBI's taxonomy places the organism in Eukaryota, Metazoa, Chordata, Actinopteri, Salmoniformes, Salmonidae. The transcript has 3 exons.
UGACUGCGUGACUGACUGACUGCGUGAGGGACUGACUGCGUGAGGGACUGACUGCGUGAGGGACUGACUGCGUGAGGGACUGACUGACUGCCUGACUGACUGACUGACUGCGUGAGGGACUGACUGCCGGUAGGGGGUUUCAUGGUCUGUGAUGUCACAGAGCAGGUUAAAUUAACUACU